This is a long non-coding RNA of Astatotilapia calliptera (eastern happy), 2285 nucleotides long. The record is from Ensembl. NCBI's taxonomy places the organism in Eukaryota, Metazoa, Chordata, Actinopteri, Cichliformes, Cichlidae.
UUGGCUUGUUGCAAGUCAAACACUGAUGCGUGGGAAUAUGGCCACACAUAGCAUAGACAUCCCACACAAAGGGAUCUAAGUUUAUUCUAAGUCUUAAGUCCUGUGAUCAGUGAGUUACACACGGGUAACCAUUUAAACUGUGGAAUAACUACCAUAAACUGUAAAUUAAAAGGCCUGUAUUUAAAUAAUGACAGUCAAAAAUAGUAGUGGGACCAUGUACAAAAAGAAAACAUUGAAGAAUAACCUCUAGAACUCCCAGGAGUACUUUAGGAUAAUGAACAACGCUACAUCUAUCAUAGUAUUAACUUGAUAGCAGUAGAAUAGUUUGCAUGACCUGACUCUGUUGACUGGUGGACUUAGUAUGGCUGAUUAUACAUAAUGUAAAGUAAAUACUCAAGAACUUUGAAUCUGGAGGCUAUUAAUUCACUUGUGUAAUGCCUACUUGAUAACAAAAUGUCAUAUGUAAAAAAAGAAACAAACACAUACAUAAAAAAAACAAAAAACGGAAAGUUCUUUAGAAAAGCUAAGUACAACCUUACAACUUCCAUGGGAAUUAAGAGGGAAAGUAGCAGCCAGAUCCUGCUAAUCAAAUGCGUUUGAUUAGCUAGUGUGUGAAGAGUGAUCACCUCUAUAAAAACAUGAGCCUUGGCAGUUUGCUAGGCUGUAGCAUUCAGAUAUGUGUGCUAACACAAUGUCACAGUCUUCCCAGGAGUGGACGUCCCAGCAAAUUCCCAAAUUUCCCAAGGUCAGACCGUUCAAUGCUCAGAAAAAUUGAAAAAGGAAAAGAAAAACAAAACAGGAGCUACAUCUGAGACUCUAAAGGCCCCAGGUUACAUGUUAAAUGGUGAAGUUCAUAACAAUACAUUUAGAAAAAGACUGAACAAGGUUUGUUUAAAAAGGCUAAACAACAGUAACAGCUGGUUAAAAACUAGGGUUAUAAGCUAACUUGAAGCAAUUUUUUCAAACCUAGAUUGUCAUGGUCCUGGGUCCCCUGACCCAGCGUUUUUAGUUCCUUGUGAUGUUUGUAAUAUUGUACUUGUGUGAAUUAUUUUAUGGUUUCUAGUUUCGAUCCCUUGCCCUUCAUGUUUCUCUGUGUCCCCUCUGUUCUGUGUAAGUCUGUGUCUGCAUGUUUGAUUUCCCCCCUCUGUGUCUUUCGGUUCUUAGAGUCCUCUGCCUUAUGGUUUAUGUCUCUGUGUUUCUUAGUUCAAGUUCGCGUCUCUGUGUGAUCCUUCCUGUUUUACUUUGAAGUUCCGUGUCUUAUGUGAAUGUGUCCUGCUUUGCUUGUCUCGUCAGUCCUGAUUUCUCCCAGCUGUGCCCUCCUUCUGUGUCUCAUUCCCUCGUUGUCCCUCUGUGUAUUUAAGCCCCGUGUUUCUCUUUGUCAGUGUAGUAGUCUCCAUCAUAGCUGUGUGAUUUUUUUUUUUUUUUUUUUUUUUUUUUUUUUUUUUUUUUUUUUUUUUUUUUUUUUGCUCCUCCCCUGUGGCUCCUUGUGCUUUAGUUUUUCCAGUUUAGUUUAUUUUGUAUUGUUUUUCGUGUCCCACUCCACGCCAGCUGUGUUUUUUGAGUUUACCUUUUGUCUCUGUGAGUUUGCGUUUGGGUCCUACUUUUGCCUGCACACAGCCGUACUGUGACAUAGAUUUUUUGGGAUCAGAAUCUGACCAAUCAGAGCAUUGCAUUUGUAGCUCGUAGCUCAAAUCGCACACCAUUACUGAAUAUGCAAUGAUAUGAAAAUAGUAAAAGUAAAAUACAAUGAUACUAUUUUACCUCAGACCCAAGCUAGACGCUGUUCAGAAACACUGCUCUCUGAAAUUAUUCCUCUUCUUCCUCAGAUGUGGUUCCAACUCAAAUUGUCUCACUGAUGGCCUGAAAUAUGUUCGAAAGCUACAGCUUCAUCUCCCGGAUCCAACCAUCAAAUUCUCCCUGAUGCUGCCCAGUUACUUGAUGUUAACUUCAUUUUUCAUUUUUAGCUAACUGCAGCUAAAAUAGGCUAACCACAGCUAACAGUGACAAAAAAGCAGUGCUUACCAAAAAAAAAGUCCAGGAUAUCCUUAACAACUCACCUCAGUAUUGCUGUCAUUGGACAGAAGUGAGCUUCACUGACUCAUCGACAUAUAUCAAAUCCCUUUCAUAAAGUUUUACAGCCUCCUCCAGAGUAAACAGAUGUGGACCCUUCUGUGUCGGCACACUGACUGUUUGCUGAGGUAAUCAGCAGACUGACAGCCUAUACAAACUACGGAACAGCGGCCUGAGUUUUUUAAGAGACUUGGGCACAAAAUAUUUUAUUGACA